This 16037-nucleotide long non-coding RNA is filed under the name Lynx pardinus (Iberian lynx). Lineage: Eukaryota; Metazoa; Chordata; Mammalia; Carnivora; Felidae. The record is from RNAcentral.
AGGCGGCAGAACUGAGUUCUGUUAGACGCAGUCAUCGGAGGGUUUGCAGUGCACUGAGAGCUGUGAGUACCCGGGUAUUCACUCAAGUGGCACUGGCGUCCUGAAAAGGCUCAGUUCUCGGUGUCAGAGAGGGGAAUGUGGGCCUGCGGGAAACUACCCCUGAUGACGUACCUGAGUGGGUUUCAACUCUGUCAGGCCCGACACCACUUUUAAAAAUAAGCCUUUGUCGGCUUCAUUGAGGUAUAAUUGACAAAAAAAAAAAAAAGGUGUGUAUUUAAGAAGUACCGUGUGAUGGCUUAAUAUGCUACGCAUUGUGAAAUGAUACCCACCUGAAGCUAAGUUACCAGGCUUUGGGUGGGGUGAGAACACCGGAAACCACUGUCUCAGCGAAUUUAAAAUACACCAUACGGUGUCACUAGUUAGAGUCGCCAGCUCUACAUUAGAGUCCCUGGAACUCAUUCAUCUCAUAUCCCAACAGGCGGUGACCCCGGGACCCACUUCUCCCCACUCCCCCCCCCAUCCCUGGCUCCCCCCAUUCCUCCCUCAGCAUCUCUGAAUUCUAAUUUUUAGGGCUGAAUACUACUCCAUUAUGGGUAGAGAGAUCAUGUUUUCUUUAUCCAUUCAUCUCCUGGUGGACAUAAGCAUUACUGUUUCUUGACUACUCGGUGUAAGGCUGCAGCGAACCCAGAGUGCCACGAUCUCUUGGAUACUGACUUCAUUUCCUUUAGAGAAAUAGCCGGAAGUAGGAUGGCUGAAGCAUAGAGUAGAUCGGUUUUUAAUUUUGGGGGGGGGGACUUCAUGCUGUUUUUCCUAAAGGCUGUACCAAUUUACACUUCCACCCACAAAAGCUCACCAGCAAAUGUGUCCGUAUCUUUGCCAACACUCUCAACACCGCUUUAUUAUAGUAAUCAAUAUUUCGCAACACCCCCCUUUGUUAACCCCAAAUUAAAUUCAUAGGUAAUAUGUUUAUCCAAGUGCGUAUUUUUUUAAAUUGAAGGGUAAUUGACAUAUUAUAUUAGUUUUAGGUGUACCGCAAAAUGAUUCAGUACUUGUGUCCGUUGCAAAAUGGUUACCGUGAUGACUACUGACAUUCAUUGCCUUGCCUACUCUCAAAACAAAUUUUUUCCCUUGUGAUGAGAACUUUACAGAUCUACUUUCUCAGCAACCUUCACCUUCCAAUAUGUAAUAGAGUAUUAUUAACUACAGUCAUGGUGCACACCUCCCCGUGACUGACUUCCUCUCUCUCUCUCUCUCUUUCUCUUUCUUUCUUUCUUUCUUUCUUUCUUUCUUUCCUUCCUUCCUUCCUUCCUUCCUUCCUUUCUUCCUUCCUUCCCUCCUUCCUUCCCUCCUUCCUUCCUUCUCUUUAUUAUGACUUAUUUUAUAGCUGGAAGUUUGUGCCCUUUCACCCCGCAAGUGCGUAAUUUUUUAAAGAAAAAGGAUAUGAUGGCCUAAUGUAAACAAGUUAAAUAGAGUAAAAUCCUAAGUGUCUUUUAUCCUUUCUGUGUCCAGUCAGAAAACAAACCACUCUAAGUAUUUCAAAAGAAGCAAGUUAAUCUAGGGAACUGGUUAUAAAGGUUUGGGCAGGGCUGGAUGAGCAUAUGGGGGAAGGUAGGGUUAUCCAGGAUUAGUAACUACAGGAACUCACUACCCCCUGGAGCUAGAGAAGCAAAGGGGAAAAUGAUGUCCCCCAGAGCCUCCGAAUGCAAGGCCACGGUGUCUGCUCCCCUGCACACCACACCCGGCACACCACACGACCCAAAAGACAGGGGGAAAAGGGGUCUUCCUGAUCUCUUCCAUUCCCCAGUGCCUCCCAUUGGCAGACCCUCAGAGAAGCCAGAUGGGAAGGAAUCUGGAAGCUGUAACUUGGAGGUUUCUGGCCCUAGAGGUGGAGAGCAGGGCUCACAAGGGAUGUACAGAGCCAACAGAUAAUAGUUUCAAUUUGCAAAUUUUUAGGCACAACUACAUUUGAAGAUAUAAUGAAGAUGCCAGAUGCUUGAAUCUGCAUUUAAAUAAGUUAGGAUUUAAUGGAAGUAAAACAAAGUUCCACGAAAUGUUAGACACUUUCUGUAUCUGACUUUCGGAAAGAAAAGGUGGAAUAGUGGAUUCCCAUAUAUGUAUAAUCACUAUGAAUGCAAUGACUACAACAGAGAUCCAGGUGGCUGUCGUGGUGACUCAAAUGUCAUGGGCGGCUUUGCCAUUCCUGAUGAGAUUUCGAAACAGUCGAGUUGACAAUUUAUAGUAAAAAGUGUAAACAAAACAGAACUCAUUAGUUGCAUUGUUACAAAAUUCAGUGUAUACUUAAAUCAUGCCAAAAAGCCUUGUGUUUAUAUGUCAAGUGGAGUUAGGUCUGGAGCUGAGAUCAUUAGGAAUAGGUUUUUUUCCCACCUUCAUGAGUAUCCAUCAGGACAUUCAAAAUUUGAGCAGGACUAAGGAUUAUAGAACAUCCAGUUUCCUGGUCUCUUCCCUUCUAAGUGCCCUUUGCAUAUCCACCCCCUAUCCCGCUUCACCCCCGUUGUUGUAACAACUAAAAAUGCCUCCACAGAUUUUUGGUCCUCUCUUGAGCAGCAGUACAGCUGUUAAGAGCACAGAUGUAGUUGUGUAGUCUUGAUACAGAAGUAUUAUGAGAUAUCAAAUAGAAAUUAGGUUAUAGAAUGUUGCCUUUCAUUAUUUUAGGAAGUAUUUGUCCAUGCAUAUGAGAAAAGGCUUGGCAUUUAUAAACCGAAAUGUUAACAGUGGUUAUUCCUUUUGUUGGAAUUUGAGGAAUAGUUUUUUUGGUUUUUUCUGUUUUUAAAUUUUUUUUCUACUUGAGAAAUUUUAGAACGCAUUCAAGGGGUGGGGGGAGAAAAAGGUUAGGUCAGGCAGGCGUAUCAGUGAGGAUCCUUCUGGGCUCAUAGGAACAGUCAGACCCUAAAUCUGUCAAUGGGGACUGACCCAAGUACCUGAUACGAGCACUUGCUCAGACAAACUUUGGUUCUACCAGAAAUGCCACCUCCUUCCUGCACACAAACCACUCUCUGCUGCUCACUGUUCCUUCGGGAUGGUGAACAGAGCGUGUCCUUCCUGAUGUGGGUCCAAAUGGGGUCAUACUAGUUUUUUGGCUUCAUAGCACAGCAGUUUCUUUAAGAAUAGGAGCCCGCUGAACUCACCCUCAUGCCGGCCCGUAAAUCUCAGGUAUGAAUCGCCAAACUGGGAGACUGAGUCCCACGCUUGGACAACAUUUUCCAUCCUUGGGCCAAAAUAGGGGGCAUCAGCAAGAUGUAGCACGUUCAGUGGGUUGCAUGCUGGAAGCUUGUGGCGGGCCUGAUACUGUGGGCCCUACCAAGAAGACCGAAGAAGGAUGAUAGGAUAGGGGCGCCCAUGUGUUGGCAGGUCCCAGCAUUUUCCAACUGACUUCUCACUGGGAUUUAACCCAACACACUGUCUCCAGUCCAAGCUGCCAGCCUCCAAAACCUCUGUCCUGCACAGGACCUUGUGCGGGGAUCUCCAGGCAGGGCGUGGGCGUGCCCGACACUCACACAUCUCCCAGACCUGAACGCCUGGGCCGAGACAAGGGAUAGUUUCCAGAUGUGGGCUUCACAUCUGGGCCAGCCAUCAGAAGGCUGCUUAUUUGAACAAAGACUGGAAGUACUCAAAGAGCCCCGAGGUCCAGAGAAGGCUGCCAAGAGCUGGCGAGCAGAUGAGUGGAGAACAGACCUCAAUUUAUGGUUCCAGGAGAGGAAGAAAGCCGUGCUUUGUGGUCCCGCACGGAUACGUGUGAAGCAAGGCAUCCUGCUCCUUCAGGAUGGGCAAUGGCUCUGUUCAUAGGAUUAAAAUCAGGGGCUUCGAUUCUAGGAUGAGCAGAAUUCUGAACUGAGGGUGCACUCCCAUUUCCAGCGUGGCACCUCGACCUUCCCCCCCCCCUUUCCACACCACCUCAUAACUGGCAUUCUGUGGAAAUACUGUGGAAAUAGAAAAUCUUACGAUUUUAUGGCUUGGUGGGCCCUUUCAACCCAUCAUCCCCACCGGACACACACUUCCUUUUUGAAAAUUUUUUCAAAAUGUUUAUUUUUGAGAGAGAGAGAGAGCGACAGAGAGCGAGUGGGGGAAGGGCAGAGAGAAAGAGAGGGAGACACAGAAUCUGAAGCAGGCUCCAGGCUCUGAGCUGUCAGCACAGAGCCUGACACGGGGCUCGAACUCACAAGCUGUGAGAUCAUGACCUGAGCUAAAAGCCGGGUACUUAACUGACUGAGUCACCCAGGGUUAGGGUUAGGUUUACAAGCUGUGAGAUCAUGACCUGAGCUAAAAGCCGGGUACUUAACUGACUGAGUCACCCAGGCACCCCAUUUCCUUUUAUAUGUAACCCUGUGACUUGGGCAAAUUCCCCACUUGACUGGAGGAGCUGAGAAGAAUAGAUCUGUUAGCAGUCCUCUUUGGAGGACGUCAGUCAGAUCGGCACAACUUGGAGCAGGUUCUUACGUUCCUACAAAGUGCAGAAGUGUACUCCUUGGGCUGAGUCCUGUUGGGCUGAAUUGUCUGCCCCCUCCCCCUGCCCCCGUACCUGUGUUGAAGUCCUAACCCCUCAGUACCUCGGAAUGUGACUGUAUAUGGAGAUAGGGGCUUUAAAGAGAUCAUUAAGUUAAAGUGAGGUCAGUUGGACGGGUUCUCAUCCAAUCUGAGGGCUGUCCUCGUGAAGAGAUUGUGCACAGACACACGCGGAGGGAAGGCUAUGUGAGGACACAGGGAGAAGGUGGCCAUCUGCGAGCCCCGGAGAAAGUCCUCAGAUGAAACCAACCUGAUGCUACCUUGAUCUCAGACUUUCAGCCUCCAGGAAUGUGAGAGAAUCAAUUUCUGUUAAGCCACCCAGUCUGCGGUGCUUUCUUAUCGCGGCCAGAACGAACUAACAUGGAGUUUGGGGGACGCCCGGACCACAGUGGUGGCCCCAGCUGCCUGGCUCUGUGGGGAACCAGGGACCAGGCCGGUAGCGAGAACGGGCAGGACGAUGACGAGCCCUGGGUGCAGGUGUGAGCCUGAGGGUGUUGCCAAUUUAUUUUCCGGUUGGUGCUUUCAUUAUCCUCACACCGUCAGGAAAGUUCUAUGACCUGUCACUGCCUGGCUUCUGCUUUGUGUGGGGCAUUAAGAAGGUCCUCGCUGAGGGGUCGGAAGACAGUCGUGCCGCAGGUCUUCAAGUCCAGACUCAGGAAGGGGCAGGAGCGUGCCCACUGGCAGGGGCGGCAUCCUUAGGGCCUCAAGAAGAGCUUGUGGGUCGUUUGAAGAGAACUGGUUUCCUUCAGCGACGCUGGCACACGCUUGUGCGGUUAUCACUUGGAUUACAGGUAGAAUGGAAAUUUUACUAGCCAUGUAACCUUAGGGAAGUUAUUCAAACUCUCCCGUCCUGUUUUUUGGCCCUAGGGAUAAGUGGGGUUCGCAGAGUGUUAUAAGGGUUAAAUGAGACCAUGAAUAGAAAGGCUAUGGAAGCACACGGCACUUUGUCUUCGGUGCCAAGUAUUUCCUGAGUUCCUCCUAUGUGCCAGGUUCCAUCUUAGGCUUUGAGGAUAUAACAGAAGGUAAGAGGGAAAAAAUGUCCCUGCUCCACAGAGCUUACACGGUAGACAGGGAGCAACUAUAAAGGAAACAGACGUGCAGAAGGAAGUGGGGUCCGCUGGGUCAGAGGCUGGUGCAGAGUCAAGGUGAGAAGAGGAAAGGACCCACGAACAGGUGCUUGCACUCCAUUCACUGGGCCCCUGGGGGCGGAAGGUAGAGCUGAGCCCUGAGCUAAGGAGACAUUGGAAGGGCUGCUGCUUCCUGGAGAAGGGGCUGGAAAACUCUGCUUGUUGGCCCCGGGAAAUAAUUAGGAAGCCUAUUUAUGUCCAGGAUCCUAAAUGAGGGGGGGGGGGGGGAAUCUCCUGUUUAAAAAUAAAAUGAGUUUGGCGGCUCCUCAAAACGUUAAACAUAGACUUGCCAUGUGACCCGGCAAUUCCACUGUGAGGUGUAGAUGCCGAAACGUCGAAAGCAGGGUCUCAGGCUGAUCCGUGUAGAACGACGUUCGUGGUGGCUCUGUUCCCAACAGCCCAGAGGCGGAAACAACCCACCCACAGGUGGCUGAAUAAGCGAAGCGUGGUAUAUGCACACAGUGUUCCUGAACUUGAAUAAGGAGUGAAAUCCUGAUAUGUGCUCAGCGUGGAGGAGCCCUGAAAACAUUAUGCUCAACAACAUAAGCGAGACCCAUAAGGGCAAAUGACCGCGUGAUUCCACUUACAUGAGGUGCCUAGGGUAGUCCGAUUCGUAGCCAUAGAAAGUGGAACAGGUGUUCCCAAGGGGGGUGGGGGGUGGGGAGUCACUGUUUACUGGGUACAGAGUUUCUAUUUGGGGUGAUGAAAAGUUCUGGAAAUGGACCAUGGCUAUGGUUACACAACAUUGUGAAUGCUCUUACCGCUGCUAAAUUGUGCACUUUAUUUUUUUUUAAUUUUUUUUUAACAUUUAUUUAUUUUUGAGACAGAGAGAGAGAGAGCAUGAACAGGGGAGGGUCAGAGAAAGAGGGAGACACAGAAUCUGAAACAGGCUCCAGGCUCUGAGCUGUCAGCACAGAGCCCAACGCGAGGCUGGAACCCACAGACCGCGAGAUCAUGACCUGAGCCGAAGUCGGACGCUUAACCAACUGAGCCACCCAGGUGCCCCUAAAUUGUGCACUUUAAAACAAACAAACAAAAAUAGUAAAUGUUGUGUUAGGUAUAUUUUACCACUAUAAGAAAAAAAAAAAAAAAGGAAGAAAAAGAAAGUUAUUUGCCCCAGGUGGCUGAGCUAGGGGAGCCAAGUGCUGAGCCUGGCAUCCGGGGGUCCCUUUUUCCCAGCCCCGCUUGCUCGCCAGCACAAAGCGGGGUGCUCACAGUGGCUGGGGAUUUACAGCAGCAGCAGUACCCCCCGGAUGGGAAGGCAGCGGCCUUCCUCGCCUGUUUCUUGCACCUGUGUUUCUUUGUGACUGUCUUUCCCGUCUUCCCUUGGAGUCAUAUUUUCUCUGGUUUUGGGUUGUAAUUAAUGGAGGCCGCUCUGCGUGCUGACAUGUACCCGGGAGCCAGGCUGCACCAGCUUCAGAUCUCAGCUCUGCCACUCACUAGGGGGGAUUCUGGGGCAAGUUUCUUAAACUCUCUGUCCCUCGUUUUCCCACCUGUGGGAAGCGGUAAUAGCAGGGGGUGGUUGUGGAAAUAAAGUGAAGUCACCCGCCUGAGGUGCUUGGAGCAGUGGCUGGCACCCCAAGUGCUUUCAUUGUUGGGUGUUCUCGUUGGUAGCACACGACCGGGCUGAGGGAGCUGAGGGUCUAUGGCCAGCGUGCAAGCUUCUUGGACUUAGAAUCCUUUUGCAGGAUUCUUAAACCCCCCAGGACUCUCCUAGAACGCUGCAUCAGAGCCGGGAAGAAAGGCAAAGAUACACAGGAAAUGUUGCCCACGCACAUCCUUACUUACUCGGCGAUGUGGAAUGAUCUCUGCAUUUCUGUAGGACGUGGUUUAUAAAUCAAUGGGUUGGGAUCAGGGCAGUCUAAAAUCCCUUGAAGUGUGCUCACACGUUUCCACACAAUCUGAGCAUGUCGCGUCUGCUUUCAUUCAGCAGUGCUGCCCCCUGUGGGCGGUCCGCGCACUGCAGUCCAAGUCACUCCAGCCAGCUGGGGGCGGGGAGGACUGCAGAGGCCUGAUGGUGUUAUGUUUCCCCUGACCUAAGCCCACUCCUGAUUCUGUUCCCUCUGUUCUCUCUAAAUGGAUUUGUGAGAUACUUACAGCGUUCCUGUUCCCAUGAAAUGAGGCUUAACAAAAAGAAAAGAAAAAGGCGGCCAGCCUCUGAUAACCCAAGGAGAUACAGCCCCCGUGUGUGAUUUGGGGCAGGUUGUGGGUCUCAGCCAGCAAAUGAGCUCCUAGAGGCCUACGAUGUACUCUCUCCUGAAGAACAUCCCACUUUAACAUUUCAAGACUCAAAAUCCAGGGACACAGUGAGACUAAUAUGUUCUAUAUUUAAAAAAAAUUUUUUUUAAUGUUUGUUUACUUUUGAGAGAGAGAGAGAGAGACGGAGAGAGAGAGAGAGAGACAGGGUGCGAGCAGGGGAGGGGCAGAGAGAGAGGGAGACACAGAAUCUGAAGCAGGCUCCAGGCUCUGAGCUGUCAGCACAGAGCCGAUGCAGGGCUCAAACCCGUGAGAUCAUGACCUGAACCGAAGUUGGACACUUAACCCACUGAGCCACCCAGGUGCCCUGAGACUAAUAUGUUCUAUAUUUUUAAAACUUUUGCACAGAAAGGAAAAAACGACCAUACGCUAAAUUUUAGAAAAUGAAAAAUGGAAAGAACAGUUUUGUAAUUCAUGACAAAAAAAGGCCUACUCUUCUUCCUAAUACAUAAAGAACUCCUAGAAAUGGAAGGGAGGGAGGGACGAAGGGAGGAAGGAAAGUAGGAAGGAAGGAAAGGGAGAGGAGGAUGAGCAAAUGUGGGCCACAUUCACAGAAAGCAACCCCGAAAUACCAUUUUCACCCACUGAAUUGGCCAAAAUCCUCAUGUUUAAUACCACACUCUGUGGGCCAGUCCGUGCAAGGGCAGGCACCUUGGAACAUUGCUAGUGGGGAUGGGACUCGGCAUACCCAUUAUGAAGGGGGAUGUGGCCUGUCAGCAGUUGCAAAUAUGAGAUUCCACUUCUGUAGCUGCACGUGUGCACAGAGAACAUACAAUGCAUUGAGAUUGUUCAUUGCAACAUUGUUUGUGAUAGAAAACAAUGGAAGCGACAGGUGGCUCUUACCACAUUUACUGCCUCCCUGGGAUGAACUCUAUGCAGUGAGAAAAGAGGAGAUGUGCUAUCAGUAUUGACAUGGAAAGAACUCUACAGUAUUCCAUUAAUAAAAAUAAGCAAGGUUCAGGGCAGUGUAUUUAAUCUACUACGUUUUUAUCUAAGGGUUGGAAGAUACGAAUUUAUGUUUGUAUUUCCUUGGUUUUGCCUUCACAAGGUUACCCGUGGAGCACCUAGACUGAUGGGGAUAAGGCUUGGAGGUAUCCACUCUCCUUUCUGCUCCUUCUAGACUUUCCAAACUUCUCUUUCUGUAUAUUGAUUGUUGAAAGCAUGAAGGUGUUACCAGUUUACACUUAAAUAAAUAUAUUCUUAUUCUCGGGGGGUAGUGAGGAUUCUCCUAUGCUACAAUGAGAGAAUAAAUAGUCCAACCUUUCUGAGAUGCAAUUUGGCAAUAUGUAUGGGCACAGAGAUUUCACUGUUAGGGUCUUGAUUACAUACUGUUUAAAGCGAAACAUUCCCAACUUUUGGAAGACGCACCUGUUAAAUGUCCCAACAUCAGGGGAUGAUGACAUACCCGUAAGACAGUGAUACAUCCAUAGGACAGAAUACUCAAAGCUAAUUCAAAUACCACAAAGUAUAUGUACUGACAUGGAAAGUUGGCCAUUUGUUAUAGAAUGGAAAAGCAAAUAACAUAUUUGCAUAUAUGGUCUGGUACAAUAUUUGUAAAAUAUAGAAAUAUAAAAGUAAGUAAACUCUGUAAGGGUAAUAUGCCAACAUAUCAUCAGUGACCAUAGCUAGAUAGUAGGUUGGGAUCAGUUUUUGUCUUUUAUUCAUCUGACUUUUCUGAUAUUAUGUAUUAGCAUUACAAGUAAAGUUAAUUAAAAGUAACCUUAGAGGGGCGCCUGGGUGGCUCAGUCGGUCGAGCGUCCAACUUCAGCUCAGGUCAUGAUCUCAUACUCCAUGAGUUUGAGCCCCGCGUUGGGCUCUGGGCUGACAGCUCAGAGCCUAGAGCCUGCUUGGGAUUCUGUGUCUCCCUCUCUCUCUACCCCUCCCCUGCUCAUGCUCUGUCUCUCUCUGUCUCAAAAAUAAAUAAAAACAUUAAAAAAUAAAAAAAUAACCUUCCAGCUAUAUGUAUAUAUACAAAAAUAUAGUCUUUAAUAACAGGACCAGUAGCAUAUAUCCUGUUACAGCACCUGGUUUUUCAUCUUGAAUACUUAUCGUCCAUAUCUUUCCCAGUCAACAAACACAUCUCAGGGAAAUCGAGUGGUCAGGCUACAAUGGUUUUAUGAUUGUUUGUUUUAGUUUUUUUCCUCAGAUCUCCUGAUCUUUCUACUGUCAACCCUUAUUAUUUAUGUAAUUCAGAAAUAAGCACUUUUAAAAGGAAAUACUUUUGUUCUAAUAGUUGGCGGUUUUGAAAGCCCUUUUUACAGACUGCACACAAUAUGUGCAAAACCCAGCAGAGCCAUGAUAACUCUAUAUGGAGAAACAGAGACUGGGGAAGUUAGGAGGUUUUCUGGCAGUUGCCAAGCCAAUAAAGUGAAGCUGGGCCACGUUGAUUAACACAUGGCCCAGAAGUGCUCAUUCUGCCGGCCAUGCACAUUCCCAGAGCCCUCCUAGACAUCUGGAAGGCUUGGACUCAAUUCCUACUCCACCAGAGAAGUGAACAGGGUCAUCUACAAUAUCCAAUAAAAGUCCUCAAAAGGAGGGGCUAACCAACAAGAGAGAGCAUUCCUGGAAAGACAGUUGCUUGAGGGCCCCAUACUGAACUGCAGUGAAAGCCUCAAGAAUUCUCUUUCCACUUUCCUGUGAACAUGCUUACCACUGAAUGUGGGAAGACUCACGAAUAUUUCUAGAGAAAAGGAUUUCCAUUAAAAUAAAAAGAAGAAAAAUAGAUUAUCCCCACUUAUAGCUUGUUUGAAAGUGUUAUUAAAGGAUAAACUUACUGAGGGUAAGAUUAUUUUUUAUCUCCAUAUUUCAGUGCUUAGUUAUCCCAGAGAUACUCAGUAGGUAUUAGAUGGUUGUGAUAAAUGGAUGGAUGGAUGGAUAGAUGGAUGGGUGAUUGAGAUGCAUUAAUUGAAAGAGGGAAGGAAGGAAGGAAGGAAGGAAGGAAGGAAGGAAGGAAGGAAAGAAAGAAAAGGGAGGGAGGGAGGAAUGGAAUCUAGAAAGAAGGAAGGGAGGCUGCUGGGGUUGGUUGGAUAGAUGAAUGGAAGGUUGGUUAGGGUGGAAGAAAAGAUGGCUGACUGGCUGGCUGGUGUGAUGGAAUAAUGGGUGGGUGGAUGAAAAGAUGGACUGAUGGAUGGAAUGGGUGGAUAAAGCUGCAGUUGAUGUUAAAGUCUAACAAACACUCAAGUACUGUGGGCUGUUUCAGCUCAGGUACAGAGAUAUUGCUACAUAAUUUUCUUCUCUUUUAGGAAGGAUGGAACUAUCUCCGCUUUUUAUGCCAGUCUCAUUAACAGCCGCCAAGACAGAUGCGGGGCCCUCAACAGCAGUCCUUCUUCUUCGCAUCCAAAGAAUGGCAGAGAAAGUUAAGAAGCCGAAAUGAGGAGGCACAAAAGUUAGCAUCUUUAUUUUAUAGGUGAGAUAACCGACCUGCAAAUAAUGAAUGUCCAAGCUAUUAGAGACCUUAUAAAAUACCAGGCAUUUAAAAUAAAAUUGUAAACCAUAGAAAUGAACAAAAGAAGAGGAAGGGCAGGGUCAUUAAAGUCAUUCAGUGGGACGGGACAGGUCUUCCCACUGUGGUUACUGCCAGGGCUAAAUUGCAGCGUGUGAGGCCAUCUGCCCUGGUAUUCUUCCUGUCACUCCCGAGAGCUUUUUAUUCCACUUUAUUUUAGGAGUGCCAAAAGGUGGGUUUCUAAUUCUAUUCCUCUCUAGUUCUUUUUAUAGUACUCAGAUCUGGGCAAAUACCAGUAAUAUGAAAUGUGUCCUCUUUUUUUUUUUUUGUACUUUAAAUCAGCCAGAAGUUUAAUAUCUUGAAUUUCCUGCUUCUUUGGCAUUCCUCACCUGCUGUGUGCAUGCCAGCUGCACCUGCAUGGUUUUCUGAGCACGUGUCUACCUGCCGGACUGCCUGCCAGGCCGUUAGCGAGGCCAGUGGACGAAUCACACACUUGGGUGUUUUGCGAUUCUGUCACUUUAAUGAUAGUGAAAAGCUCCAGACUGCCUGCAGCCCCUCCCAGUGUUUGCCAGACAACUCAGAGCUGGAGGCAGACGUUCAUUUAGAAACUGCCAGCGAGCAACGGAAAGUUCUCAAACACCUUUUACCUCUGAGGACUACAGCGAGUCAUGGCCCUGAGUUUGUUGGGGUCUUUUAUUUCUGCCUGUAAAAAAAAAAAAAAAAGUGCAUUCUCCUAAAGGCAUUGACUUAAAGUGCUAUAGCAGGUGCUGCCUGAACCCCACCCACACACUUGUCUUUCCCCUUCAGUGCUAACAGGCUGGAAUUCCAACUGCUGACACCUCAUUUUGUGUCCUGAGGACUUUCUCUUGACCUGGAGCCCCCUUUUCCACCUGUGCAGCAGGCCAGAGUGCUGGGAAAUUGAUGCCCCCGGGAACAGACUCCCAACAAUGGUGAAUAGGAGUUGGUGUAUAAAUGCCCCAGCUCCCUUGCCCCUCAGGUGGGAUUGCUCUGAGGUGUAUGUUUCUCACUGACUUCCAGAGUUUUCUGAGCAGAUUUAAGCUUCAGUCACCCCCAGAGGUAGCUGGUUAGAUACCACAUGCUUUCUUGGCUGCCUCUUCUCUGUCUUAUGUCCCUCUGCCCCUGCCAGCAUCUCCUGGGAUUGUCUUCCAGAUAAACUACUCCAUCUGGAAUCUCUGUCUUAGUGUCAGAUUCAGAGAACCCCCCCCCCCAAAAAAGGCCCACCUCGACCAAUGGGAUGCUGUUGCAGGGGUUGGAGGAACACAUACUGGACAUCUAGGAGAUUCCCUCACAAAAUCAGAAAGUGCAGCCCCUUCUAUAAGCCUCAGCUGUAGUAUACAAUUUGGGGGCCCUCUGAUGCACUGUGGGGUUCCUCUGGCUGUCACCUCCUGUCCCAGGAGUGGUGAGCUGGUAGAGAACCCCAGCCGGAGGCACUCAGAAUGCACGUGUAGGUGGACAGAGGUGAUGUAAUCUGUGGGCAUCCUCUCCAGUCUCCCACCUGGGAGGAAGGAGGCCUAAGAGGCAAUAGAGGAAGUGGAUUCAGGGAGAAGAAUGAGAGGGUAAAACAGACGGCCUUUCUGCAUCCUUCCCAUUUCGCUUAGAUUCAACUUAUUUUUUUUUUUGCUCCGAAGUAUAUUCUUUAGUGUUUCAUUCAGGGAGGAUCUGCUAGGGGCGAACCUUCCAUUUUUAUUGGGUAAAGAGGUCUCUGUUUUGUCCUUGCUCUUGAACAGCAGCUUGGCUAGACUUUGAAGUCUACAUUUUCUGUCUGCACGUGUGUUGUCUUCUGGCUUCCAUAGCUGAUACUGAGAAGGCUGUUUCCAAUUGGACUGUUGUUGUUUUGCAGGUAAGCCUGUUUCUGUGUGAUUUGAUUUCUGGUUUCUUAAUCCAGAGAGAUUAAAUCCUUUAUUCCCUUGCUAACUUCUGCAGUUUCAUUCUCAUCUGUCUGGGCAUGCCUUUAUUUUUAUUUAUAUUGCUCAGGAUUCCCUAUUCUGAAAAACCUUAAAAAAGAAUCUCAGCCAGUUUCUCCCUGACUUUUGCCGCUCUCUCAAUCUUUCUAGCCUCGCCUGAAAUUUCUAUUAAGGGUAAGAUAGAUCUUGUUAUUUUAUCCUCCAUGUUUCUUAAGCUUUCUUUAGUAUUCUCUAUCUCCUGUUGGCUCCUUCUUCCAAUUUACAGACUCUUUCUUUAGCUGUGUCCCAAGCUGCUGCUUAGCCCCAUCCACCAAGUGCUUCAUUGAAACGAUCCCAUUUUUCAUUUCUAGAAGUUCUGUUUGGCUCUUCUUCAAACCCAUUGGUCAUACUUAUCCUCAUUAGUUAGUCUCUCGUCUGCGGGUUUAAUUUUAAACAUCACUUUAUGCACUCUAUCUGAACAUUGUAUUAUCUGAAAGCUAUUUUUAGUGUGGACAUUCACUUUUACUCAUGGUGACUGUGUCCUCUAGUGCUUUGUAAUUUUUUAUUUUUAUUGUAAGCUUGCCUUCCACAGGGAAAAUGUUGUUUUGUUCUGUCUUGUUCUCUGUGGGAAUCCUGUGCAAUUUGGAACACAGAAGUGUCCCUCCAUGGUCGUUUUAUUUUGGCUAUUGCCAGUUGUCUUGGGGAUAGUCAAAUCAGCUAAAAACAUCACCACCUCUACAUAGCCUCCUUGGGCCCCUUUCUCUCAGCUGAGCCUUGGAACCUCUCCUCUCUGCUCACAUAGCUCCUUGUACAUAUCUCUAUGGCAUCUCAAAUAGCACUCUGUUUGGAGACUGUGUGUCUGUGUCCUCAGUUACUCUAGAAGCCCCUCAGGCACUCAUCAGGUCUAGCACAGAGCUCAUAAAUAUUUGCUGAAUGAAUGAACUUGGAGAAAUAAGUCUUCAGUGCCUCACCUUCUUUGAAUGGGAUGUUAUCUUUUGUCCUGACCUCAUGGGAUUUGGAGACAUCAUAGGCCCUCUAUGAUAGAUCAUGGAGCUAUCCCAUAGACCUCAUGGGAUUUGGGGAGAUGCUUUAAUUCACCCCUAACAUCACUGCAUCAAAUCCUUAAUUCCCUGCCUAAGAUAAUUAACUAAGGGGCUCUCACAAGCUGUGAAACACUAACAUAGGUACCUCCCAGUGCUAUUCCACUGUGCCUGGUGACUGGUUUCCCACUCAUUAUUAUCUGCUUCCUUUGUGCUUUGUGAGACAGGAAUGGUUGCAAUGGAAAAGAUCUGUUGUGUACUAACAACUUCAAACUUUUCUGAGACUAAAACAAGGCUGUACCUGAGGCUGAUAUACUUGGACAUAUGCUGGACUUAGAAUCCCUCAAAAUCAAAUGGCAGCAGCCAAGCAAACAGCCGUAUCAACCCUAAAUGGCAACUGUGUGUUCCUCCUUUUCCCAGCUUGACUGAGCGCUCUUUGAGAGCAUGGACCAUGACAUACAUCUGCUGGGGUGUCCUCAUGGCAAGGUCAGAAGCACGGCGCUGAAUCGUAGGUAUGGUUGAAUUUUGACCGGUUGAGUUGUAGUUAAAAGUAGAGUCAGCGUUCUAUAUACGAAGUAGAAGCCACCUCAGAAUACUGACAGUUCUUAAUAAUAGCAAAGCCAUUUUUGGUUUGUACUAUACUUUUUCUUUUCUGCUCAAGCAUUUUGUGGUGGGGAAAAAAGGAUUGGGAUUGCAGUGUUUUUUAGUGGCUCCAAAUAGCUAUCUUCCUCUGCCCCCUAGUGGCCUCAUGACAAAUUGUAAGAACCUUCAUGGUUCUCAAUUUCCCUGGUUGCUUCUGUUCUUACUGUUUUUGUUAUUGGUUAUGAAAAAAAGAUUUCCUUAAACUUGCCGCAACCUCAAAGUGCCCUGUGUUAAAAAUUAAAUGAAUGAAAUAUAAUUUUACUAGAAAAUAUACGUGCAGUGAGGGGCAUCGAGAAUCUAGAAUUUAGGAAGUGAUUCUCUCUCAUUCUCCAACAGGCUCCAUCCGUGGCCGUCCAUCUUUGGUGUUAAUACUUUCUGGGACAGUUGUUUGCCACUCUGGGACCCCUUAUGUGACAGCUCCAUUUGCACCAGCAUGAAAUGUCCCUCCCCGGCUGCAUUCUAGAACCCGGAACCUCCCAAGUAAGACCUAAGCCUGCCUUCACCUGGUGGGGUUAUCUGCUUCCCUGCCUGGACUCCUGUCCAGACCAAGAACGGCACCUUCCUCAUAUGCCUUGGCUCCUGGCACCGAGUUCCUCCUGCCUGUGCUCUCAACAUAACACUAGCGUGGGGGAGCCCCAAGAGAAUCGGGUUCUCAACACCAAGCAUGGUUAUUUCUGGUGAAGUACAGACCACGCAAACCAUGUCUUUAUUUAUGCCACUGAGCCUGCAUUAGCUCCCUUACCAAACCUGGAAUCCAAGUGGCUCCUCUUGAGCAACUUGCCUCCCAACAGCCCCGGUCACCUUCACAUGGAUAGUGGCCAAGGAAGGCUUUUCUCAUUCCGCCGUCAUAACGGUGGCUUCUUUGUUCAGUGUAGCUGUGGGAAACUUAUUUUCGUCUCUGUUUUUUUGCCAGGAGACUGGAUCAUCAUCUGACAAUAAAGAGAAAUUCCAACCUGAAGGAUUUUGACCACAGAGGAAAGAACUUCCUGAAAGUUCUCUUUCAGGAAGAAUGAUGGGAUGUCCCUGGGGCCAAGAAUCAAAAGUUGUGUUCUUGGCCUCAACCCUGUCUGGCUGCCAUGCUCCUUGUCAGUAGCAUGGAAUUUAC